AGAACCGUACAGCUAAUCAUAAAUUAGUACCCUGAUUCCAAGGGAUUUGGUAGAGAUUUUGCAGCAGGUCAAAGACAAGGUAAUCGCAACUUCGCACCUUGUGUGGUUGCUGUUUUCCUGGAAAUUAUGCAUCUUUUGGUUGGUGGUACGUGGAAAUCAACUCCUAUUCUACGCUUUUCAUAAAGGAUCAAAAGGAAAUUUAUUGAUUGUUGGCAUGAGGUUUUUUUUUAUUGCUCAUAUGAAUUUCGCAAAUCAUUUCUUUGAUGAAACUUUAUAUUCAUUUCUUUUGAGUGCGCAUCGGAUAAAUCUCUAACUAAUUUUGAGUAAAUUGCAAUAGACUCGAAAACUUUUAUGUUCUUAUUCUGAUUGCAAUAUUCUAAUAUGGAUAACAUCCGCACGGAAGCAAAGCAAAACAACCUUGGAGUUCGAAAAAACUCAUGUAUCAUGGUGCUAUACACGGACAAGGAUUAAAACAUUGGUGUGCAAGCAGAGCAGCAGUGUCAGUCACAAAUCAGAAGCAUCAAUAUGGUGGAGGCGGCGGUGCCUGAGGAGGAGGAGGGCUGAAAUGAAGAGGAGGAUUGACCCUGGGAGGUGGUGGCGAUGGUAUUCGCCUUCUCCAUACCCUGAACUUGUAGUUAGGAAAAUCAUUUGAAGAAAUUGCAUCAGAAGAAGACCUGGAUGGAGCUUCCCAUUCAAAAGCCCUGCAGAUGUAGCUACUAUGAGAUGAUAAUAGCAGAAAAUGGAUCAAAAAGAAACAAAGUAAAGAUGAAAUGGCACCCAUCUUUGGUUGUUGUAGGAACAAUAGUAAGAUGUGCCCAUUUAUAUUAGUAACCGGUUUAUGAAGACUUUCCAUACAGGAUACAAAGUGAACUUGUCGGAAUAAAUUAAUGUGUAUUUGUUUGGUUUUAUUCGGAAAGUCUACAGGCAUGCAAUUUGAUUGUAACUUGUGCAAGAGUUUUGUUUAGCAUUUUCCGGCC
Molecule: long non-coding RNA, 977 nt
Filed under: Populus trichocarpa (black cottonwood)
Lineage: Eukaryota; Viridiplantae; Streptophyta; Magnoliopsida; Malpighiales; Salicaceae
Description: long non-coding RNA (PTRI_LNC004142)
Source: RNAcentral